AGAUUGAACGCUGGCGGCAGGCCUAACACAUGCAAGUCGAGCGGUAGAGAGGUGCUUGCAUCUCUUGAGAGCGGCGGACGGGUGAGUAAUGCCUAGGAAUCUGCCUAGUGGUGGGGGAUAACGUUCGGAAACGGACGCUAAUACCGCAUACGUCCUACGGGAGAAAGCGGGGGACCUUCGGGCCUCGCGCCAUUAGAUGAGCCUAGGUCGGAUUAGCUAGUUGGUGAGGUAAUGGCUCACCAAGGCGACGAUCCGUAACUGGUCUGAGAGGAUGAUCAGUCACACUGGAACUGAGACACGGUCCAGACUCUA
This 312-nucleotide ribosomal RNA is filed under the name uncultured soil bacterium. RNAcentral describes it as "bacterial SSU rRNA". It matches the Rfam family "Bacterial small subunit ribosomal RNA", at positions 26 to 340 of the family's 1533-position model. The record is from RNAcentral.